GGCCAACCCACAAGGGAGGCAGCCUCCAAGGUAUAACUCAUGAUUGGGGUG
RNAcentral lists this ribosomal RNA (51 nucleotides) under uncultured bacterium. RNAcentral's name for it is "partial 16S ribosomal RNA". The record is from RNAcentral.